GGCUCCGUAGCUCACUUGGAUAGAGCGGUUGCCUCCUAAGCAACAGGUAGUGCGUUCGAAUCGCAUCGGAGUCA
Molecule: transfer RNA, 74 nt
Filed under: Treponema sp.
Lineage: Bacteria; Pseudomonadati; Spirochaetota; Spirochaetia; Treponematales; Treponemataceae
Description: tRNA-Arg
Rfam family: tRNA
About the family: Transfer RNA (tRNA) molecules are approximately 80 nucleotides in length.
Source: RNAcentral